UACGUAGGGUGCGAGCGUUGUCCGGAAUUACUGGGCGUAAAGAGCUCGUAGGCGGUUUGUCGCGUCUGCUGUGAAAAUCCGGGGCUCAACCCCGGACUUGCAGUGGGUACGGGCAGACUAGAGUGUGGUAGGGGAGACUGGAAUUCCUGGUGUAGCGGUGAAAUGCGCAGAUAUCAGGAGGAACACCGAUGGCGAAGGCAGGUCUCUGGGCCACUACUGACGCUGAGAAGCGAAAGCAUGGGGAGCGAACAGGAUUAGAUA
Molecule: ribosomal RNA, 261 nt
Filed under: uncultured prokaryote
Description: partial 16S ribosomal RNA
Rfam family: Bacterial small subunit ribosomal RNA
Source: RNAcentral